UUUUUUUUUUUUUUUUUCAGAGACAAAGUCUUGCUCUGUCACCCAGGCUGGAGUGCAGUGGCGCGAUCUCGGCUCACUGCAGCCUCUGCCUCCCGGGUUCCAGUGAUUCUCCUGCCUCAGCCUCCUUGGGUAGCUGGGAUUACAGGUGUUCGCCACCACGCCCAGCUAAUUUUUGUAUUUUUAAGGAGGUCUCGCCAAGUUGGCCAGGCUGGUCUCGAACUCCUGACUUCAGGUGAUCUGCCCGCCUCGGCCUCCCAAAGCGCUGGGAUUACAGGCGUGAGCCACUGCGCUGGGCACUUUAAUUCUGUCUUUACUUUCUGAGAUAGUCUCGCUCGGACGCUCAGGUUGGACUGCAAUGGCGUGAUCUCAGCUCGCUGAAACUUCCACCUCCCGGAUUCAAGCGAUUCUCCCGUCUCAGCCUCCCGAGUAGCUGGGAUUAUUGACGCGCAGCACCACGCCCGGCUAAUUUUUGUGGUUUUUGUAUCUUCUGUCUUCUGCUCUUUAGUACCGCAUAGAGCCACAGAAGACUACACAGACAUUUAUGGGGGAGAUGGAGAGAGGAGAGAUUAAGGAGAAAAAGUGCCUACCACUGGGAGGCCCGGCGCCGGCAGAUGGCUUUGGACCGAAGGAGAUGGCUGAUGGCCCAGCAGCAGCAGGAGCUGCAGCAGAAAGAACAGGAACUGAAGAAUCACCAGGAGGAAGAACAACAAUCGGAGGAAAAACUCCAGCCACAUAAGAAGUUAAAUGUGCCGCAACCACCAGUGGCGAAAUUGUGGACAUCACAGGAGCAACCACAGCCAUCACAGCAGCAGCCAUCAGUGCAGCCACCAUCACAGCCACCACCACAGCCAUCAACAUUGCCACAGGCACAGGU
This 874-nucleotide long non-coding RNA is filed under the name Homo sapiens (human). RNAcentral's name for it is "non-protein coding lnc-LINC00854-1:2". The record is from RNAcentral. Lineage: Eukaryota; Metazoa; Chordata; Mammalia; Primates; Hominidae.